UAAGAAGGAAAGAACUAGAUUAAGGUUUACAAAAGUUAGGCUCUCAGAUCAAACAGGUCGAAAUCUUGAGCUCAGGGGAAUAAUAGAAGGUAUCUUUGACAUAAAAAUUUUGCUUUGUCUGCUGUAUGUGAGCCAGGAAAAGCUGAGGGGAAAAAAAAACCCUUUAAAUACCUUUUUCUAAAAUGCUUUCCUGCCUGCAUCGACUAAUCAAGUAAAUCAGACAAACAAAUAAAAAGAUAAAUUUAUUGCCGGAAUUCAAGGCCACCGGGGUAUUUUGUUUUUCUACACAAUUUAGUUGGUGCUAUCUAAAAUGAAAAUGUUUGAAUAUUUAACCUCUGUACCAGUUUAAAACUUGAAGGAGAAAAAGAGGUUUCUAAAAAUCAAACUGCUGUGGAAACUGCUUUACCCAAAGCUUUGGUCCACAGCCUUCAUAAGAUCACCUAUCAGGGCAAAUAAAAUUUAGCCAUGUGAACAGGUCCCAUUUUGUCAGAAAUAUAAUUUGGAUUCAACUGUCCUUUUAUAAACUGAUCUGAUCAGAACCUGAAUUCUCCUAAUUUUCUUCAAUAUUUGGCUGCAACUCUCCAACUAAGAGCAAAAACUGCUCUGUGCUUGCCGCCUUAGAAGAUGAAGCUAGACAACUUGAUAUAAAUUUCAAGAGACAAGUCUCAUACCCGAAAAAAGAAGGACAAGUCUUGUGCCACACAGAAAGUUCACCAAUCCACCUGAUACCAUAGCAGAGAAUUCAAACUGCAAGCCAAGA
RNAcentral lists this long non-coding RNA (760 nucleotides) under Homo sapiens (human). Its description in RNAcentral is "HSALNT0293291". Lineage: Eukaryota; Metazoa; Chordata; Mammalia; Primates; Hominidae. The record is from RNAcentral.